This 231-nucleotide long non-coding RNA is filed under the name Malus domestica (apple). Its description in RNAcentral is "long non-coding RNA (MDOM_LNC004537)". The record is from RNAcentral. Lineage: Eukaryota; Viridiplantae; Streptophyta; Magnoliopsida; Rosales; Rosaceae.
CUCUAAGUCUCCACACCAAGGGUUAAGUGUGAAGAUGAAAUGGAUAACUUAGGGAAGAAGAGAUUGCUAGAUUAAUCUCCCUAAGUGGCCGGCCUCUUUGUAGAGAGAAAGAGAGAAAAUGUUUCACCUCUUUGCCUCAAAGAAAAACCCUAAUGAGAAAUAAAAGCUAUAAAGUUCCUUUUAUACUUCAUUUCAAGUGAGUGGCAAACUUGUAAUUAAUCCAAGCUUGCC